Molecule: ribosomal RNA, 465 nt
Filed under: uncultured bacterium
Lineage: Bacteria
Description: bacterial SSU rRNA
Rfam family: Bacterial small subunit ribosomal RNA
Source: RNAcentral
UGCCAGACUCCUACGGGAGGCAGCAGUGAGGAAUAUUGGUCAAUGGUCGGGAGACUGAACCAGCCAAGCCGCGUGAGGGAGGAAGGUACAGAGUAUCGUAAACCUCUUUUGUCAGGGAACAAAGACUGGGACGCGUCCCCGGAUGAGUGUACCUGAAGAAAAAGCAUCGGCUAACUCCGUGCCAGCAGCCGCGGUAAUACGGAGGAUGCGAGCGUUAUCCGGAUUUAUUGGGUUUAAAGGGUGCGUAGGCGGGACGGUAAGUCAGCGGUAAAAAUGCGGAGCUCAACUCCGUCGAGCCGUUGAAACUGCCGUUCUUGAGUGAGCGAGAAGUAUGCGGAAUGCGUGGUGUAGCGGUGAAAUGCAUAGAUAUCACGCAGAACUCCGAUUGCGAAGGCAGCAUACCGGCGCUCAACUGACGCUGAAGCACGAAGGCGUGGGUAUCGAACAGGAUUAGAUACCCUCGUA